RNAcentral lists this ribosomal RNA (198 nucleotides) under uncultured bacterium. RNAcentral's name for it is "partial 16S ribosomal RNA". It matches the Rfam family "Bacterial small subunit ribosomal RNA", at positions 328 to 539 of the family's 1533-position model. The record is from RNAcentral.
ACGCUCGACACCUACGGGAGGCAGCAGUGGGGAAUAUUGCACAAUGGGGGAAACCCUGAUGCAGCGACGCCGCGUGGAGGAAGAAGGUCUUCGGAUUGUAAACUCCUGUUGUUGGGGAAAAAGAGGAUGGUACCCAACAAGGAAGUGACGGCUAACUACGUGCUAGCAGCUGCGGUAAUCUGAGCGGGCUGGCAAGGC